UCGAAGGAGAAACCGAGGUCUGAUUAUUUCACUGGUCGGAGUAAGUUUUUACGAUUUGCCCCUUGUUCGCCCAGUUUUUCCUCAUUGCACUCCUCGUCCAGAAGACCUCGAGGGCCGUUUGCCGUCGGCGACGGUCAACGACCGGAAAAUACUUGCAGAUCAUGAAGAAGAAAAUGCUGAAGAAGAAGACUGGCAAAGCACUACUCAUGAUUGAGACUUUGAUGGAAGUCACUAGGUAUUCAACGACCUGCAGACCCACAUUUUCACUUCGCUUCUUAUGAAGUCCUGUUGGAUCUCUGCUAAUAUGAUAAUUAAGUGUAUUUUAAGUUCGAAAUUUUUUACAUCAUUCAAAAUUUGAUAUAACUUAUUUACGAACUGAUUGUAUGAUUUCAAUCAAUGCGAUCGAUCAGUUUCAAUGAUUUUCGUUGUAAAAUUGUACGUACGAAUUGUAUGUACUUUAAUGUAUUUUAAGAAUUUGUGCUGUUUCCGUUUUUAUUGAUGACAAUUAUGCAGCGGUGAAUUUAAAAUAUAAAUCUCAGAGUUGAAACGCAUUAUAAUUAGAAUAUCAGUGUUUAAGUAUUUAUAAAUGGAAUAAAUAUUACGCAACGCUAUAGUUAAUCGACUAAGAGAAAUAUCAUACAAAUUAAAUUGAUACAUAUAGAAUUAUGAAUGUAACUUAGAAGGAAAGCGACAUUUAAGAAACAAAUACUUGUAGCUCGUAACAUAAGAUGUUUAAAGAGAAAAUAAACAUAAUUAGGAUCUAAACGAAAAAUCCUUUGUAAGAAAUGCAAUAAUUUUAAAUAAAGCUGUGCAACAAAUUAUAUAAUAACCAUACAAUAAUUCUAUAAUAAUUUUCAAUAUCAAAAUAAUCGUAUUUGAUAUUGUUUGAUUAUUAUUUCACAUAUCAAUAUUUUACAAAAUGUAUAUGAUAGUUCAUCGAUUAAGCUAUAGAUAGAUAAGAAGCGCUAUAACUUUUAAAGGAUAGGCUACAAAAUAAUAAAUCGCAAUUUUUUAGCGCAAAUAGUAACAUCAUUCAGUCUGCAUGAUAUACAAAUAUAUAAAUAAAAUAUUAAAGUACGGUUUAGUGAAUUUAAUUUAAUUACUUCUUGCUUUUUCUCAGUUGCUAUUAUAAUAAAUAUGCGAAAAAAAUAAAUGUAGUUAAAUAGAAACCUUCAGAUUUAUCGCUGAUAGAUACAUUAACUAUAGAAAAGUGAAAACAAAACGUCUAUACAAUAAAUGCAGUUAUUUACAUUUGCUACUUCGAGUAAUGUAUUACCUGAUUCUUCGGGGAAUCUUAUCCAAUGCGUACUAGGAAUUUGAAAUAUCGAUGAAAAUCUAAAGAUAAAUUACAAUACUUAUAUGAAUAAAUAAUUCAUGAAAUUUUAAUUCUUUAUUACUUCAUACUAAUUCGUUUGCCAGUCGUAAUUUAUAUUAUAUUACAGAAUCACACAAAAAAUCUGUUCUACCAAACUUAUCAAACUUUCGUUUCAUUUAUACGGUAAUUGUUUCCUUAUAUUGCUACGUAAUUGUUGUAUUUAAUGCUGCUGUAAUUUUUGAACCCGUUACUUAUUCUGUUCUUUCAUCAUGCUCGCAAUACUUACAUUUUCUAAAUUAGUUUAUGGAAAUAAUACACUGCACGUUGAAAACGAAAGCAGACUUAAAAUUUCAUGAACAGUUAACAUGGUACAUUUUUUUUUUUUUUUUAUUUUUGUACUAUCGAAACACGUUCGACGUUUCUGGACGUAUAGAUCAAAUAAAUUUUUGUUUAUUUUCAUACUAAUGUUCGAUGAGGUAAAUGAUGAGAAAGCGUGUGAUCACAACUUGAAACUACGGAUACGGAUCACGUAUUCGCAGCAGCACGGAACCUAUCACCUAGUCUCGGAGAUUUGACUUCGUUUCGGCGCGGAUUUCGUUCCGCACGCGCGCGCGUGCUCAUUCCUUCCUGACAGUCUUGGAAAAAUAGAGAAAAGAAUCGAAACCUUACCGUUAUGUUCACCCAACUCGCGCCAUAAUUACAGCAUGGACUUGCUACUUGCAAGAUGUAUACAACCAUAGCCAGCGAUAUAAUGUGCACAGUUUAGACCAUGCCACAGUAACAGCACGCUCGUUUCUUUUAGUAAUUACAUGAAAUUGAAUCGUGCCUAUCUAUCAACGUUCGACGCGUGUAAUUAUUCAUCUCUGUUUUACCUUGCGUGUGACAUUAAUUAUCGCCGUGCAAAUGUAUAUUGCAUGCUUAGUACUGAAAUAGCUAUCUAGAUGUUAAUGUCACUCCUUUAGAAACUAUAGCGUGUCGCUAAUGUCUUGAUUAUCGAACGUAUUAUAUCAUCAAUUGCAACGAAUUGUGAACUAUUAACCAAGUGUUUAUUAAUAUUUGUGUUUAUUAAUUAUUGAGUAAUAUAAAGAUGCAAUUUUUCAAAAUACCGUUUCUUCAUAGAAGAAAAUUAUCAUUUAAGAGACGUAAAAAUUUGUAACACGGUAUAAGAGUCGGUAUAAAAAUCGUACAGGAGCUGGACGAAGAAGAAGUAAUUUUCCUCGAGAAUGGCAACAGCCUUUCAAGGUCAACGCAGGGUCGAGUUAAAGAUUUCGCAGUACCGAUGAUCGAUUAUCUGAUUAUCAUAAAUACAGGUACCUCGUAGAUCGUAGAAAUUAAUAGACCAACACGCAUUAAAGGUAACGUGCAAUGCACACAGCAUGUAAAAUGAUGCUCGUUAACGCGUUGCGCUCUCCCCUUUUAACGAUGAACAUCAAUCAGGAAUAGAACCUGCGAUUAUUUCCUGGAAAUCCUGAGAUUUUAUUAAAAGCAAACCUGUUUACUAUUUUUUCAUUUAUUCGGUACUUGAUACAUGUUACAUAAAUCGGCGAUUAAGAUGACGAACGUUACGUUGUAACAAACUAAUUGAAUAUGAUUCCACGUAUAUGUUAUAAAAGUCGUUGAAUUUUUUGCGAAUAUUUUGGG
Long non-coding RNA from Bombus huntii, 2956 nucleotides. RefSeq lists it as uncharacterized. Lineage: Eukaryota; Metazoa; Arthropoda; Insecta; Hymenoptera; Apidae. The record is from RefSeq and is a predicted model, not a curated record. The transcript is spliced from 2 exons.